AUAUUUGCUAUCCAUGGGCAGAAAAUUAGGAGCCAAUCGACAUAUGAUAUUUCUCUCUCAAUCGUAAACUUCCAAGCUAACCAAUUUAAUACCUCUCAUAUACUCCUUCCUUUUUUCUUCCCAUGGAUAGCAAUUACUCCAUGUGA
This is a non-coding RNA of Vicugna pacos (alpaca), 146 nucleotides long. The record is from RefSeq and is a predicted model, not a curated record. Lineage: Eukaryota; Metazoa; Chordata; Mammalia; Artiodactyla; Camelidae.